RNAcentral lists this ribosomal RNA (459 nucleotides) under uncultured bacterium. RNAcentral's name for it is "partial 16S ribosomal RNA". It matches the Rfam family "Bacterial small subunit ribosomal RNA", at positions 338 to 795 of the family's 1533-position model. The record is from RNAcentral.
CCUACGGGAGGCAGCAGUGAGGAAUAUUGGUCAAUGGGCGGAAGCCUGAACCAGCCAAGCCGCGUGAGGGAUGAAGGCCCUAUGGGUCGUAAACCGCUUUUGUCCGGGGAUAACACCCUGCACGUGUCGAGGUCUGCGGUUACCGUUCGAAAACGGGCCGGCUAAUUCCGUGCCAGCAGCCGCGGUAAUACGGAAGGCCCGAGCGUUAUCCGGAUUCAUUGGGCUUAAGGGGUGCGUAGGCGGGCCGUCAAGUCAGCGGUAAAAUCGCGGGGCUCAACCGCGCCCCGCAGUUGAAACUGGGCGACUUGAGUUCGCAACAGGCAGGCGGAAGUCGUGGUGUAGCGGUGAAAUGCAUAGAUAUCACGAGGAACCCCGAUUGCGAAGGCAGCCUGCCGGGGUGCGACUGACGCUGAGGCACGAAGGUGCGGGGAUCAAACAGGAUUAGAUACCCUUGUAGUC